UACGAACUGCGCGAACGUUAUUCGGAAUCACUGGGCUUACAGGGUGCGUAGGCGGCCGAUCAGGUCCGAUGUGAAAUCCCACAGCUCAACUGUGGAAUGGCAUUGGAAACCGACCGGCUCGAGUGAGCUAGAGAUGUACGGAACUUCCGGUGGAGCGGUGAAAUGUGUUGAGAUCGGAAGGAACACCAGAGGCGAAAGCGGUACAUUGGGGCUUGUCUGACGCUGAGGCACGAAAGCUAGGGGAGCGAAC
Molecule: ribosomal RNA, 250 nt
Filed under: uncultured bacterium
Lineage: Bacteria
Description: partial 16S ribosomal RNA
Rfam family: Bacterial small subunit ribosomal RNA
Source: RNAcentral